GACGAACGCUGGCGGCGUGCUUAACACAUGCAAGUCGAGCGGUAAGGCCCUUUCGGGGUACACGAGCGGCGAACGGGUGAGUAACACGUGGGUGACCUGCCCUUAGCUCUGGGAGUAAGACCUGGGAAACUAGGGUCUAAAUAACCGGAUAUGACUCCAUGACGCAUGUUGUGGGGUGGAAAGCCUUGUGCGGCUAGGGAUGGGCCUGCGGCCUAUCAGCUUGUUGGUGGGGUGAUGGCCUACCAAGGCGACGACGGGUAGCCGGCCUGA
Molecule: ribosomal RNA, 270 nt
Filed under: uncultured bacterium
Lineage: Bacteria
Description: partial 16S ribosomal RNA
Rfam family: Bacterial small subunit ribosomal RNA
Source: RNAcentral